CCUACGGGAGGCAGCAGUGAGGAAUAUUGGUCAAUGGGCGCGAGCCUGAACCAGCCACGUCGCGUGAAGGAUGACUGCCCUACGGGUUGUAAACUUCUUUUAUAAAGGAAUAAAGUGAGGCACGUGUGCCUUUUUGUAUGUCCUUUAUGAAUAAGGAUCGGCUAACUCCGUGCCAGCAGCCGCGGUAAUACGGAGGAUCCGGGCGUUAUCCGGAUUUAUUGGGGUUAAAGGGAGCGUAGAUGGGUUGUUAAGUCAGUUGUGAAAGUUUGCGGCUCAACCGUAAAAUUGCAAUUGAUACUGGCGGCCUUGAGUACAGUUGAGGUAGGCGGAAUUCGUGGUGUAGCGGUGAAAUGCUUAGAUAUCAGGAGGAACUCCGAUGGCGAAGGCAGCUUACUAAACUGCCACUGACAUUGAUGAUCGAAAGUGUGGGUAGCAAACAGGAUUAGAUACCCCAGUAGUC
Molecule: ribosomal RNA, 460 nt
Filed under: uncultured bacterium
Lineage: Bacteria
Description: partial 16S ribosomal RNA
Rfam family: Bacterial small subunit ribosomal RNA
Source: RNAcentral